Long non-coding RNA from Phyllostomus hastatus (greater spear-nosed bat), 543 nucleotides. RefSeq lists it as uncharacterized. The record is from RefSeq and is a predicted model, not a curated record. Lineage: Eukaryota; Metazoa; Chordata; Mammalia; Chiroptera; Phyllostomidae. The transcript is spliced from 3 exons.
GCGGGUGGCAGCAGUGCGCACAAGCUUCCGGGCCAGCCGAUACUGUUGCCAGUGCAAAGCUCCUCUCUACACCUGAGCGGGGGACAGAUGUGCAUCAAUAUUUAUUCGGAACUCCCAGGAAACCUGGAUGAAGUGUAAUUAUCUCAGCUCAAUCAGCUUGGAUUAGCAUAACAUCAAGUCAGCCAUCAGAUGGAGAGUUUGAUUUCGGGGAUCAAAGCGCCGCGCUGUAUCCGCUGAUUAAUCCGGGAGAAGAGAGCGGAAAAUGGCAGGGUAGCAUUUCCCUGUCCACUUGGAGUUCACUGUGCCAUGUGACUGGAUUUGGACAAUGUAAUAGAAACAGAUUUGCAGCUCUCCUCGAGGACACAGAGAAGCGUUUUCCACGCUCCUGCCUCUGCCGGAAAAGUCUGUCCGGACCUCUCCGCUCCAGCGGCCCACAGCACGAAGACUUCUCGGCUGAAGGAGGAGCUGUCGCUCCCUUGCACCAUAUCCCCUGUGGGCACUUUGAAAGAUUGGAUUUUAACGGAAUAAAGAUCCCUGACAUGA